CUUCGGGAGGGACCUGCGUCCCAUCAGCUAGUUGGUAAGGUAACGGCUUACCAAGGCGACGACGGGUAGGGGACCUGAGAGGGUGGCCCCCCACAAUGGAACUGAAACACGGUCCAUACACCUACGGGUGGCAGCAGUAGGGAAUAUUGCAUAAUGGGCGCAAGCCUGAUGCAGCAACGCCGCGUGUGCGAUGAAGGCCUUCGGGUCGUAAAGCACUUUUAGAGCGGAUGAGGAAGGACAGUACGCUCUGAAUAAGCCUCGGCUAACUACGUGCCAGCAGCCGCGGUAAAACGUAGGAGGCGAGCGUUAUCCGGAUUUACUGGGCGUAAAGCGUGUGCAGGCCGGUUGAGAAAGUUGGAUGUGAAAGCUCCUGGCUUUAACUGGGAGAGGUCGUUCAAUAUACUUGACU
Molecule: ribosomal RNA, 409 nt
Filed under: uncultured bacterium
Lineage: Bacteria
Description: bacterial SSU rRNA
Rfam family: Bacterial small subunit ribosomal RNA
Source: RNAcentral